AACAAAAACAUGUCCUUUAGUUAUUUAUUUAAGGUCUAAUCUGCCCAGUGAUUAAUUAAAUGGCCGCAGUAAUUUGACUGUGCGAAGGUAGCAUAAUCAUUAGUUUUUUAAUUGAAAGCUUGUAUGAAUGAUUGGACGAGAAAAAUACUGUCUCUUAUUAAACUAUAGAAUUUUAUUUUUUAGUUAAAAAGCUAAAAUUUUAUUAAAAGACGAGAAGACCCUAUAAAGCUUUAUAUUUAUUAAAUUUAUUAAUUUUUGGUAAUUUUAUUUUUUUAAAUUUAUAUAAUAUUUAAUUGGGGAAAUUUAAAGAUUAAAAUAAUUCUUUAUUUUUAAUACAUAUAUAUAUGUAUAUUUGAUCCUUUAUUAAAGAUUUAAGAUUAAGUUACUUUAGGGAUAACAGCGUAAUUUUUUUGGAGAGUUCAUAUCGAUAAAAAAGUUUGCGACCUCGAUGUUG
This 454-nucleotide ribosomal RNA is filed under the name Hydrocanthus funebris. RNAcentral describes it as "partial 16S ribosomal RNA". It matches the Rfam family "Bacterial large subunit ribosomal RNA", at positions 1806 to 2534 of the family's 2925-position model. Lineage: Eukaryota; Metazoa; Arthropoda; Insecta; Coleoptera; Noteridae. The record is from RNAcentral.